CAGACUGACAUCAAUUGAUAAUUACUACACCAAACAAAGAUAAAAGCUGUGGAUGUCCGUUCUGAUCCUGAGAUCAAUCAUGAGUCAAAUACUAUUCAUUUUAAUUGCCUCUUUGCCAUAUGUUCUUGGCAUCUCUCUGACCUCGUCUCCUGCACAGAUUAAAGCUCCUGGUGAAUCAGUGAGGUUGUCCUGUCAGAUCUCUGGAUAUUCACUCAGUGAUUAUGGCACAGCAUGGAUCAGACAGAAUUCUGGAAAAGGCAUGCAGUGGAUCGGGAUCAUAUGGGGUGGUGGAUCAAUAGACCUUGGAAAUUCCUUCAAGAGUCGCUUCACUAUAUCCAGAGACACAAACCGUAAUGAGCUUUUCUUAGACAUCAGCAGUCUGCAGACUGAGGACACAGCUGUGUAUUUCUGUGCAAAGACUGCCACAGUGGCUCAUCUCAGUGUGAGAAACUGACAAAAACACAUCUAUAGAUCAUCCAAGUGUGCAAAACAUUUACAGUUAUCAACACACACCUUCUUCUCUACCAGCUCAGGAUGAUGUUUAGACAUAGUAGAGAGUAAAUUAUUAUUCUAUAUAAUAGAGUACCUGAAUAGAAAACAAUUUUCUGUUAAUUAUUUGUAAAAUAAGCAAUCAAACUGUUCUGUUUCAAACAAAAAACUGUAUUAUUUUA
Molecule: non-coding RNA, 671 nt
Organism: Xyrauchen texanus (razorback sucker)
Lineage: Eukaryota; Metazoa; Chordata; Actinopteri; Cypriniformes; Catostomidae
Source: the annotation of a RefSeq genome assembly